CCUACGGGUGGCUGCAGUAGGGAAUAUUGCUCAAUGGGGGAAACCCUGAAGCAGCAACGCAGCGUGGAGGAUGACGGUUUUCGGAUUGUAAACUCCUUUUGUUAGAGAAGUUAAUGACGGUAUCUAACGAAUAAGCACCGGCUAACUCCGUGCCAGCAGCCGCGGUACUACGGAGGGUGCAGGCGUUACUCGGAAUCACUGGGCGUAAAGAGCGCGUAGGCGGGAUAGCAAGUCAGAUGUGAAAUCCUCGGGCUUAACCAUAGAACUGCAUUUGAAACUGUUAUUCUAGAGUAUGGGAGAGGUAGGUGGAAUUCGUGGUGUAGGGGUAAAAUCCUUAGAGAUCAAGAGGAAUACUCAUUGCGAAGGCGACCUGCUAGAACAUAACUGACGCUGAUGCGCGAAAGCGUGGGUAGCAAACAGGAUUAGAUACCCCAGUAGUC
This 440-nucleotide ribosomal RNA is filed under the name uncultured bacterium. Its description in RNAcentral is "partial 16S ribosomal RNA". It matches the Rfam family "Bacterial small subunit ribosomal RNA", at positions 338 to 795 of the family's 1533-position model. The record is from RNAcentral.